RNAcentral lists this ribosomal RNA (463 nucleotides) under uncultured bacterium. RNAcentral describes it as "partial 16S ribosomal RNA". It matches the Rfam family "Bacterial small subunit ribosomal RNA", at positions 28 to 507 of the family's 1533-position model. The record is from RNAcentral.
GAUGAACGCUGACAGAAUGCUUAACACAUGCAAGUCGAUGGGGAAGUGGUGCUUGCACCAUGGUAACCAUGGCGGACGGGUGAGUAACGCGUAAGGAACUUGCCUGCGGGACUGGGAUAACAGCAGGAAACUGCUGAUAAUACCGGAUAAGGUCAUUAAGCUGCAUAGCUUAGUGAUGAAAGGAGACGCCUGCGGAGAGCCUUGCGUCCUAUUAGCUAGUUGGAGGGGUAACGGCCCACCAAGGCGAAGAUAGGUAGCCGGCCUGAGAGGGUGGACGGCCACAAGGGGACUGAGAUACGGCCCUUACUCCUACGGGAGGCAGCAGUGGGGAAUAUUGGACAAUGGGGGCAACCCUGAUCCAGCAAUUCUGUGUGCACGAAGACGGUUUUCGGAUUGUAAAGUGCUUUCAGCAGGGAAGAAGGAAGUGACGGUACCUGCAGAAGAAGCGACGGCUAGAUACGUG